This 472-nucleotide ribosomal RNA is filed under the name uncultured bacterium. RNAcentral describes it as "bacterial SSU rRNA". It matches the Rfam family "Bacterial small subunit ribosomal RNA", at positions 34 to 518 of the family's 1533-position model. The record is from RNAcentral.
CGCUGGCGGCGUGCCUAACACAUGCAAGUCGAGCGGAGAUAACGUGCUUCGGCGUGUAUUCAGCGGCGGACGGGUGAGUAACGCGUGAAGGACCUGCCCCUUACAGAGGGAUAACAUCGAGAAAUCGGUGCUAAUACCGCAUAAGACCACAGUGCUGCAUGGCAUUGAGGUAAAAGGAGAAAUCCGGCAAGGGAUGGCUUCGCGUCCCAUUAGAUAGUAGGCGGGGUAACGGCCCACCUAGUCGACGAUGGGUAGCCGACCUGAGAGGGUGAUCGGCCACACUGGAACUGAGACACGGUCCAGACUCCUACGGGAGGCAGCAGUGGGGAAUAUUGGGCAAUGGGCGAAAGCCUUACCCAGCAACGCCGCGUGAGAGAAGAAGGUUUUCGGAUUGUAAAUCUCUGUCCUGGGGGACGAAGAAAGUGACGGUACCCCGGGAGGAAGCCCCGGCUAACUACGUGCCAGCAGCCGC